GAGUUUGAUCUUGGCUCAGGACGAACGCUGGCGGCGCGCCUAACACAUGCAAGUCGAACGGAAUAUUUUUCUACUUCAAGUUUUUUGCUUGUUUGAGGAAAGCGUCAAUCAGUGCGCAGCACUGAUUUAGGCCUUUUAGUAAGCUAACACAUGCAGAAAAGAACGAGCGGAAGAUUUGAAGUAGAAAAAUAUUUAGUGGCGAACGGGUGAGUAACGCGUGAGGAACCUGCCUCAAAGAGGGGGACAACAGUUGGAAACGACUGCUAAUACCGCAUAAGCCCACGGGGCCGCAUGGCCCUGAGGGAAAAGGAGCAAUUCGCUUUGAGAUGGCCUCGCGUCCGAUUAGCUGGUCGGUGA
This 357-nucleotide ribosomal RNA is filed under the name uncultured bacterium. Its description in RNAcentral is "bacterial SSU rRNA". It matches the Rfam family "Bacterial small subunit ribosomal RNA", at positions 9 to 255 of the family's 1533-position model. The record is from RNAcentral.